This 1035-nucleotide unclassified non-coding RNA is filed under the name Pyricularia oryzae. RNAcentral's name for it is "sequence contains 5.8S rRNA gene, ITS2". The stretch from base 643 to 789 matches the Rfam family "5.8S ribosomal RNA". The record is from RNAcentral. Lineage: Eukaryota; Fungi; Ascomycota; Sordariomycetes; Magnaporthales; Pyriculariaceae.
UACCCCAAGGAAGAACAUUGAUCUGAGGUCAACCUUUUAAAAAUUGGGGGUUUAGCGGCUGGAGCACGCCGGGACGAUCCGAACGAGGUUCGCGUUUUACCGCGUUUUACUGCGCUCAGUGUACCGACGAGCCCGCCGAUGAACUUGGGGGCAGGGGCCGCGGAGGGCCCGGGCGCCCCAACACCAAGCCGAGGCUUGAGGGUUGAAAUGACGCUCGAACAGGCAUGCCCGCCGGAAUACCGGCGGGCUUCCGUGCGUUCAAAGAUUCUAUGAUUCAUUGAAUUCUGCAAUUCCGGUUAAUUAUCACAUUUCGCUGCGUUCUUCAUCGAUGCAAGAACCAAGAGAUCCGUUGAUGAAAGUUUUGAUUAUUUGUACAUCAAGCCCAAAAAUAGUGAAAAUAAUAUUAUUAUUGCCCCUCCGGAAGCGGCUCCCCCGUCCCCAACAAAUUUGAUGUUGAGCGAUGGUGCAGGACGAAUAACCAAUGAAAUUCAGCCCAUGAUCAACCGAAGGAGAUCAUUACUGAGUUGAAAAACUCCCCCCCUGUGAACAUAACCUCUGUCGUUGCUUCGGCGGGCACGCCCGCCGGAGGUUCAAAACUCUUAUUUUUUCCAGUAUCUCUGAGCCUGAAAGACAAAUAAUCAAAACUUUCAACAACGGAUCUCUUGGUUCUGGCAUCGAUGAAAAACGCGCGAAAUGCGAUAAGAUAAUGUGAAUUGCAAAAUUCGUGAAUCAUCAAUCUUUGAAGCCAUUGCCCGCGCCUAUUCCGGCGGGCAUGCCUGUUCAGCGUCAUUUUCACCUCAGCCCUCCGCUUUGGUGUUGGGGGCGGCCCCGGGGCCCUCUCCGGCGCGGGGGCCCCACAUUUAUAAGAGGGGGUGGGUGUCUCUAUGAAGGGAAAAAAACGUAGAAAAAAAAACCUAUCUUUAUUUAUCUGCAGCCGUGACUCUCUCUCUCUCCCCUGUUUUUUUUAUGUGUGCCCCGGCACAGGGUGGCAAAUCCCCGGCUGACUUUUAACUAUAAGGCGAGGGAAAAAACUGG